Molecule: RNase P RNA, 261 nt
Filed under: Acidimicrobium sp.
Lineage: Bacteria; Bacillati; Actinomycetota; Acidimicrobiia; Acidimicrobiales; Acidimicrobiaceae
Description: partial RNase P RNA component class A
Rfam family: Bacterial RNase P class A
About the family: Ribonuclease P (RNase P) is a ubiquitous endoribonuclease, found in archaea, bacteria and eukarya as well as chloroplasts and mitochondria. Its best characterised activity is the generation of mature 5'-ends of tRNAs by cleaving the 5'-leader elements of precursor-tRNAs.
Source: RNAcentral
UGAGUCGUUCGGAUGAUCGCGGCACAGCAAUGUGCUGAGGAAAGUCGGGACUUCUCAGGGCAACAUGCUGGCGAGAGCCAGGUAGGGGUGACCUUACGGACGUGCAACAGAGAACAGACCGCCGAUGGCUGCGCAAGCAGAUCAGGUAAGGGUGAAACGGUGCGGUAAGAGCGCACCAGCAUAUGAAGCGAUUCAUAUGGCUUGGUAAACCCCAUGUGAAGCAAGAUCAAGCAGAAGGCUGGGCUGCCCGCCUGCCGCAAG